CUGGCGGCCGAGGGGCGGCUGCGCCUCUGCUUCCGGCCCCCGGGCUACUCCCGGGAAAAAGAGCGUUGGGAGCUCCACCCCGACACCGCGGCGCUGGCGGCCAUGACAGGGGGCGGGGCCUGCGCCCCUGACCCCGCCCCCAGCUCCGAGGACGAGGGGGCGGGGUCAGACCAGGCCACGCCCCCUCCCAGCCCCGCCCCCAACCCCUUCGCGCUGCUGGGCGAGGACGAGUGCUGAGCCAAUCGGAGCGCGCGGAUUAGCAUAUCGCCGCCUACGGAAUAAAGCGUUUAUUUCUGCA
Non-coding RNA from Lonchura striata (white-rumped munia), 298 nucleotides. Lineage: Eukaryota; Metazoa; Chordata; Aves; Passeriformes; Estrildidae. The record is from RefSeq and is a predicted model, not a curated record.